GGCAAAGCUCAAAUUUGAAAUCUGGCGCCUUCGGUGUCCGAGUUGUAAUUUGAAGAUUGUAACCUUGGGGUUGGCUCUUGUCUAUGUUUCUUGGAACAGGACGUCACAGAGGGUGAGAAUCCCGUGCGAUGAGAUGCCCAAUUCUAUGUAAGGUGCUUUCGAAGAGUCGAGUUGUUUGGGAAUGCAGCUCUAAGUGGGUGGUAAAUUCCAUCUAAAGCUAAAUAUUGGCGAGAGACCGAUAGCGAACAAGUACAGUGAUGGAAAGAUGAAAAGAACUUUGAAAAGAGAGUGAAAAAGUACGUGAAAUUGUUGAAAGGGAAGGGUUUGAGAUCAGACUCGAUAUUUUGUGAGCCUUGCCUUCGUGGCGGGGUGACCCGCAGCUUAUCGGGCCAGCAUCGGUUUGGGCGGUAGGAUAAUGGCGUAGGAAUGUGACUUUACUUCGGUGAAGUGUUAUAGCCUGCGUUGAUGCUGCCUGCCUAGACCGAGGACUGCGAUUUUAUCAAGGAUGCUGGCAU
This 515-nucleotide ribosomal RNA is filed under the name Meyerozyma guilliermondii. Its description in RNAcentral is "eukaryotic LSU rRNA". It matches the Rfam family "Eukaryotic large subunit ribosomal RNA", at positions 101 to 632 of the family's 3401-position model. Lineage: Eukaryota; Fungi; Ascomycota; Pichiomycetes; Serinales; Debaryomycetaceae. The record is from RNAcentral.